Molecule: ribosomal RNA, 301 nt
Filed under: uncultured bacterium
Lineage: Bacteria
Description: partial 16S ribosomal RNA
Rfam family: Bacterial small subunit ribosomal RNA
Source: RNAcentral
CAGCCGCCGCGGUAAUACGUAGGUGGCAAGCGUUGUCCGGAAUUAUUGGGCGUAAAGGGCUCGCAGGCGGUUUCUUAAGUCUGAUGUGAAAGCCCCCGGCUCAACCGGGGAGGGUCAUUGGAAACUGGGAAACUUGAGUGCAGAAGAGGGGAGUGGAAUUCCACGUGUAGCGGUGAAAUGCGUAGAGAUGUGGAGGAACACCAGUGGCGAAGGCGACUCUCUGGUCUGUAACUGACGCUGAGGAGCGAAAGCGUGGGGAGCGAACAGGAUUAGAUACCCGGGUAGUCCCUGUCUCUUAUAC